This 476-nucleotide long non-coding RNA is filed under the name Lathyrus oleraceus (garden pea). RNAcentral describes it as "Pisum sativum (pea) long non-coding RNA (PSAT_LNC026127)". Lineage: Eukaryota; Viridiplantae; Streptophyta; Magnoliopsida; Fabales; Fabaceae. The record is from RNAcentral.
UGAAAUACCAUCAAUGUAUUGAUAAAAUAAUCGGGGAAUAACGAGAUGAUAAGUGUCAAAUCCAUGGAUUAAAAUUCGAUGGUUAACAAUGAAAAGAUUCAAGAAAAACUAGGAUAGAUCCAACAAGCAUCACAUUUUUUAGAAACAUUCACGGGACACUUUUGCAAUGACCGUAAUCGGGAUAAAAUAAAUGGAAAAAAUAAAAAUAAAAAUUAAAUUGUAAAGAUAAUGUCACAAAUAAGAAGUAUGUGUCAAAAAGUCAGAAAGAAAACACUAUUUGAAUGGUUAAAAAAAUGUGAAAGAAAAAAAAAAUAAGGGUUGAAAAAGGAUGAAAAAAUAGGGAAAAUGACAACAAGGGAUUGAACCCAAGACAUGGGGACAUGAGGCAUGAAACUUCAACCAUUCCCAUAUAAUUAUAUUAUUGAUAAAUAACUACCUUCAUAAAUAUAUAAUAUAUGGUGGUUUGUAAAAAUGGA